Molecule: long non-coding RNA, 2718 nt
Organism: Anarrhichthys ocellatus (wolf-eel)
Lineage: Eukaryota; Metazoa; Chordata; Actinopteri; Perciformes; Anarhichadidae
Exons: 2
Source: RefSeq, a predicted model, not a curated record
UGAAACGAAAAUAAUAAUGGUGUCGCGAUCUAUGCAGAAACAAAAGUGCAAACGUUAUUAUAUAGUCUUUAACAGCCCGACGCGUGGCGCAUUGUAGGAACGCAAGAAAACAAACAAAGAUACUUUUAAACGUAUUUAUAAAACGUCACACACAAACGUAAUCAGGGAGAAAAUACGUUUCCGGUCAAACGUAUUUGAGAAUACAUUUUAGUGUUGGGGGAACGUCGUUUUUAGGAGUGUUGCAAUAUUAUAACCUUAACUGUUUUGAUGGAGGCUACUCUUACUUAAGGAAGGGAUGUGUUCUUACUCCAUGAGCUACAUAUCACUCUUCACAGGAGUGAAUGAGAACUUGACAUCCUCCAGCCCUUGGAGCUCCUGACUAGUGCAGAGUUCCUCCUUAACGUGUGGGGGCUCUGGGUCCUCCUGUUUCAGACUGCUGAGGGGGAACCUCUUCUUUAACGACCAACAGCUGCUGGAGGUCUGCAGGAAAACAGUAAACACACACAGAGACGUCACAAAGGCAUUUUAGUAUUGAGCAAAUCCUUUACAUAUACUUUUUUUUCCUGCCAUCAUUCCCUCUUACACUCCCUGUGCAGUUACCAAACAGACAUGCUGACACAAAUCAUAAAGACACAACGCACCAGCAGCAAUGAGGUCAUCAAUAGUUUACAUGGCAAAAAAAGUGUGGUCAUGGCUGCAGCCGCAGCCCGACUAUCUACAAAAAGUUCCCUAAUCCUUAAAAUUAUUCUCAGCUAAACAAUGAUCUAAGUGAUUAUCUUUCAUUGAUGACCCUGUUCUUCUGAUCAAACUCUGUAUGACAUCACUAACGUUACCCGAAGGCUGCUCCACAAACAGAUGUUCUGCUUGUUGGUCACAUGUUGUGAAACUGCUGCUGCUUCCUCUCUUACUUGUGAGGGUUUAUUGUGAAAACAGAUUCAUGAAAAACAUGCAGACCUUAUAACAUGUCCUGUAAUGUGAAGGGAUCAUUUUUAUUCUACUUAUCGACAUCUUCAUUUGUCAGCUUCUAGUAAAAAAAUAUCUUCAAAAACACAGAUAUAUAAUUUAAUUCUUUCAAAAAAGGCUCAGUUAAAAAAGCUGGUCAAUUUAGUUUUUAUCAAACACACUUUAUGUUUUGUACUGAUAAGUUUCAUGCAGAGCCAAACGUUAAAGUGCUUCAACAUUGUCUAUGAGAUCCUGUACCUGCCGACUCGUACAUGUAACCACAGGUUGUCAGGAUCCCUGUCUGACCCGUUGUGUGUUAACCUCCGUUUCCCCUGAUCUCCUCUCAUGUGUUCUGUCAUUCCCCUGUUAUUGUGGGCUAUGUGCUCUGUCAUUUUCCUCUGCCUCCAGACGCCUCCCAUUCCCCGUUCCCGCUGGGCCGCAGCGGUUCCCCCUUCCCGCUGGGUUGCAGCUCACUCCGGCUCCCCGUGUCCCGACGGCGGUCCGGCCGACUCCGGCUCCCCGUGUCCCGACAGCGGUCCGGCCGAUUCCGGUUCCCCGUGUCCCGACAGCGGUCCGGCCGACUCCGGUUCCCCGUGUCCCGACAGCGGUCCGGCCGACUCCGGCUCGAGCUGCCGCGAGCUCCAGUCCCUGCCACCUCUGAGCCGCGGCUAACCCCGGACCCGGCGACCUCCAGUUCCUGCCGCUAACGUUCCCCGGAGCCCCGUCUCCGAGAGUCAGAGUCCUGUUCUCAGUCUGAGCCCCAGUCUCUAGAGUCCUGUUCCCAGUCUGGGGACCUGGACGAAGGCCCGAGCAACCCUACUCCGGUCUGCCGAACGCUACGCAACAGCGGCUAACCGACACCGCACUCAAGCCCCCAUCUACCAGGUGGGUCAGAGGGUGUGGUUGUCGACCCGGGACCUACCCUUGCGGGUAGAGUCCAAGAAACUGGGCCCAAGAUUCAUCUGGCCUUUCGAGAUCGAGAGGAUCAUCAACCCGGCGGGAGUGAGGCUCAAGCUCCCCAGAUCCAUGCGCAUCCACCCCACAUUCCACGUAUCCAAGGUCAAACUGGUCCGGGAGAGGCCCUUGGUGCCGGCUGUUCCUCCUCCUCCGCCCCCUCGAGGGAGGUCCUGUCUCCACGAUUCAUCGCCUGCUUCGCUCCCGCCGCUGGGGGCGAGGUCUUCAGUACCUGGUCGACUGGGAAGAAUACGGUCCGUAGGAGAGGCAAUGGGUUCUGGCUUGUAACAUUUGCGACCCCCGACUCAACGACAGUUUUCAUCGACAGCACCCGGACCAGCCUUCCAGGACUAAGACGCCUGCCGGGAACACCCAGCCCCUGUUCGGACAAUGAGGGUCUUUCCUCCAGUUCCGUGGACCCCCUCCACCCACCCGGCUGUGGAUUCCGACUCUGCGGCCUCGGAGGAGUUCUAAUCAACAAAAUCAAAUAAAAAUGUAAUCAAUGUUCUAUGUUUCUACAUAGAACAUUGAUGCUAUCUAACUGCAAUCAGGCUCUGCCUUGCUUGCAGAAUAGGCAGGCCCAGAUCCCUUUGUUUCAAAGCACAUGGUCAGAUCCCAACAGUACGUUAGUACAUUCGUGGAUGUGUGCGAGCAGCAGUGACUGCAAUCCCAAUAAUAGCAGUAUCGGCAGCCGGAAUCGGGCCGGUGUAUUUGGCCCGAUUUUGGCUAGUAAUUCAUCAGCCGAGUCGGCAACCCGGACUCGGGCCGACGCGUUUCUUCCGGCAUGCCGAGCUUGUGCCGGAGCUGGGCCACGUCAUGUUG